Molecule: long non-coding RNA, 255 nt
Filed under: Malus domestica (apple)
Lineage: Eukaryota; Viridiplantae; Streptophyta; Magnoliopsida; Rosales; Rosaceae
Description: long non-coding RNA (MDOM_LNC007416)
Source: RNAcentral
GGGAACCGCACUGUCGUAGCCGCCGGAGUUUUUCUUUACUUUCUUGACGAUGGCGAGAAUGACGGCGUCGACGACAAGGCCGAGGAUCGCGAGCACCAGCAGCCACGCCCACCAACCCUUGCACCUCGAUUUAGCUCCCAUUUUUUAGGACCAACCAAAACCACAAGAGGCAGGCAAAAAGUAGUCUAAGUAGAUAUCUGUCUUAGCACAUUGUGACAAGACAAACAAACAUUAAUCGAGGUUUUGGAGAAGAUU